AGGACGAACGCUGGCGGCGUGCUUAACACAUGCAAGUCGAACGAGGCCCUUCUCUUCGGAGAAGGUGCCCUAGUGGCGAACGGGUGAGUAACACGUGGGCAACCUGCCCCUAGCACUGGGAUAACUCCGGGAAACCGGGGCUAAUACCGGAUAUGACCUCCUUAGGCAUCUUUGGAGGUGGAAAAGAUUCUGGCUAGGGAUGGGCCCGCGGCCUAUCAGCUUGUUGGUGGGGUAACGGCCCACCAAGGCUCCGACGGGUA
This 260-nucleotide ribosomal RNA is filed under the name uncultured bacterium. RNAcentral's name for it is "partial small subunit ribosomal RNA". It matches the Rfam family "Bacterial small subunit ribosomal RNA", at positions 26 to 285 of the family's 1533-position model. The record is from RNAcentral.